GUGAAGCCUGCGGUUCAAUUGGAGUCAACGCCAGGAAACUUACCAGGAGAGACAGCAGAUUGAGGGUCAGGCUGAAGACCUUACCUGACGAGCUGAGAGGAGGUGCAUGGCCGUCGCCAGCUCGUGCCGUGAGGCGUCCUGUUAAGUCAGGCAAUGAGCGAGACCCCUAUCGGUAAUUGCUAACUGCUCAGAGAUGGGUAGAGGCUAGUUACAGAGACUGCCGCUGCUAAAGCGGAGGAAGGAAGGGGCCACGGCAGGUCAGUAUGCCCCGAAACUCCUGGGCCACACGCGGGCUGCAAUGGUAGGGACAAUAGGCUCCGACCUCGAAAGAGGAAGGCAAUCCCGAAACCCUACCCCAGUUGUGAUCGAGGAUUGAAACCCGUCCUCGUGAAUAUGGAAUCCCUAGUAACCGCGUGUCAUCACCGCGCGGUGAAUACGUCCCUGCUCCUUGC
RNAcentral lists this ribosomal RNA (452 nucleotides) under uncultured archaeon. RNAcentral's name for it is "bacterial SSU rRNA". It matches the Rfam family "Archaeal small subunit ribosomal RNA", at positions 888 to 1340 of the family's 1478-position model. The record is from RNAcentral.